RNAcentral lists this ribosomal RNA (717 nucleotides) under Triticum aestivum (bread wheat). RNAcentral describes it as "partial small subunit ribosomal RNA". Lineage: Eukaryota; Viridiplantae; Streptophyta; Magnoliopsida; Poales; Poaceae. The record is from RNAcentral.
AUGAGCCGACAAUGGAUGUACGAUGACCGAUGCUCUCCCGAGUUCAUUAAUGGCGUGCAAACUUUUCUGCUUGCGGCUGAGGCAAACAAGCGGGCGCAUGGUUUUAUGCAUUGUCCAUGUGCUGUCUGUAAGAAUGGUCAAAAUUACUCUAAGUCAAGAACCAUUCACGUCCAUCCGUUUAAGUCCGGUUUCGUGCCCCACUAUAAUGUUUGGACCAAGCACGAAGAAAGAGGGGUUAUGACGGAAGACAAUGAAGAAGAAGAGGACGACAACAGCUAUCCUGGCCAUGGGUUCCCUGAAUACGAUGAUACAACAAUGGGGGAAGAAGCUGAGCCGGCAAUGCGGAAAGAAGCUGAAGAGGAGGCAUCAGAUGAGCCCGUUGAUGAUCUAGGUCGGGCCAUUGUCGAUGCAAAGAGAAACUGCGCAAGUGAUUUGGAGAAGAAGUUGCAGCGCAUGUUAAAGGAUCACAAAAAAUUGUUGUACCCGAAUUGCGUAGGUGACAAGAAAAAGCUGGGCACCACACUGGAAUUGCUGCAAUGGAAGACAGAGAAUGGUGUAUCUGACAAGGGAUUUGGAAAGUUGCUACUAAUGAUAAAGAAUAUGUUUCCAAAGAACAACGAAUUGCCCGAGAGUACGUACGAAGCAAAUAAGGCUAUCUUCCCUCUAGGGUUAGAGGUGCAGAAGAUACAUGCAUGCCCUAAUAAUUGCAUCCUCUAC